This 468-nucleotide ribosomal RNA is filed under the name uncultured bacterium. RNAcentral describes it as "partial 16S ribosomal RNA". It matches the Rfam family "Bacterial small subunit ribosomal RNA", at positions 28 to 507 of the family's 1533-position model. The record is from RNAcentral.
GACGAACGCUGGCGGCGUGCUUAACACAUGCAAGUCGAACGGAAAGGCCCUGCUUUUGUGGGGUGCUCGAGUGGCGAACGGGUGAGUAACACGUGAGUAACCUGCCCUUGACUUUGGGAUAACUUCAGGAAACUGGGGCUAAUACCGGAUAGGAGCACCUGCGGCAUGGUGGGGGUUGGAAAGUUUCGGCGGUUGGGGAUGGACUCGCGGCUUAUCAGCUUGUUGGUGGGGUAGUGGCUUACCAAGGCUUUGACGGGUAGCCGGCCUGAGAGGGUGACCGGCCACAUUGGGACUGAGAUACGGACCAGACUCCUACGGGAGGCAGCAGUGGGGAAUAUUGCACAAUGGGCGGAAGCCUGAUGCAGCAACGCCGCGUGCGGGAUGACGGCCUUCGGGUUGUAAACCGCUUUCGCCUGUGACGAAGCGUGAGUGACGGUAAUGGGUAAAGAAGCACCGGCUAACUACGUG